This 252-nucleotide ribosomal RNA is filed under the name uncultured bacterium. RNAcentral describes it as "partial 16S ribosomal RNA". It matches the Rfam family "Bacterial small subunit ribosomal RNA", at positions 524 to 776 of the family's 1533-position model. The record is from RNAcentral.
UACGAAGGGUGCAAACGUUGCUCGGAAUCAUUGGGCGUAAAGCGCACGUAGGCGGCCUUGCAAGUCGGAUGUGAAAUCCCUCGGCUCAACCGAGGACGUGCAUUCGAAACUGCUUGGCUCGAGUAUGGAAGAGGGUCGCGGAAUUCCCGGUGUAGAGGUGAAAUUCGUAGAUAUCGGGAGGAACACCAGUGGCGAAGGCGCGACCUGGGCCCAUACUGACGCUGAGGUGCGAAAGCGUGGGGAGCAAACAGG